CUUUGAUCAUCUUUACAAUCAUUACUGAAUCAUUACUAAUCAUUUUCUCUUUCUUGGGUAGAUUGCCUAUCUCCACGUCACUUAGUUCUUCUUCUGGGAUUUCAUCUUCUUCCUUUGUCUGGAACAUUUCUUUGCUGCCUCAUUUUGUCUAAAUUUCUAUUUGUAUUGUUACGUUUGUGGUAAGUUAGUCAUGUUUCUCGACCUUGGGGAAGUGGCUCUCUGUAGGAGGUGUCAAAUGCAUCUCAAGCAGGGCACUCCCCUCUUGUCACCCAAGGGCCAGGGGCCAGCAGGUGCCAGGACAGCAUCUGGCCUGUGUUUGCAGACUCAGUCACCAGGCUGUGGGAUCAUAGUUUUCUCGCUUCUGGUGGAUGAGGCUGGUCUAGAGGGUUGGGCCAGCUUCUUGGCAGGAGGGGCUGGUAUGCCCACUGAUGGCUGGAGCUGGUCCUACCGGAGGGCCAUGUCUAAAGGUGGCUGUGGGCUCAGGAGGUCUUUAGGCAGCCUGUCUACUGAUGAGUGGGGAUGUUUCUCCUCUUAGUUUGGCCCAACACGUCCCAACACUGGAUCCUACAAGCUGUUGGGUGGGGCCAGGUCUUGGUACCAAGCAAGAUGUCAGCCUCCAGGAGAGUUCAUGCAGAUGAAUAUUCCCCGAUAUGUCCACCACUGUGUCCCUAGGGUGAGCCACAGCCACCCUUGCCUCUCCAGGAGACCCUUUAAGACCAGCAGGUAGGUCUGGCCCAGUAGCCUAUGAAAUUUUGUCUGCGGUCCUGGUGAGCCUGAGAUUUUUGUGUGCAUCCUUACAAGUGAAGUUUCUAUUUCCUCCAGUUCUGUGGAGCUCCUGCAGUUAAACCCUGGUGGCCUUCAAAGCUAAAUACUCUGGGGGCUUCUCAUUCUGGUGCUGGACCCCUGGGCUAGGGAGCCUGACGUGGGGCUCAGAACUCUCCUGUGGGAAAUCUUCUACAAUAUAGAUAUUCACCAGUUCGUCAGUCGUCCACUGGAGGGGUGUGGGGUUUGAUUGUAUCCCAGGUCCACCUCUCCUACCCAUCUUGUGGCUGCUUCUUUAUGUUUUUAGUUAUGGAAGAUCUUUGCUGGUAGGCUCCAGUCGUUUUUAUUGAUGGUGGUUGUGCAGUUAGUUGUGACUUUGAUGUGUUCAUGAGAGGAGGUGAGUGCUGGCUCCUUCUGCUCUACCAUCUUGGCCACCAGCCUUUUAGCCCAGUUUGAAGAGAACUGCAGAUUAUCCCUGACCCAGAGUUGAGGUCACGGUUCAUGGAGCUCAUGUCUGCCUCUUGGGCCAAGGGCCUUGAGAGGCAAGAAUGGGGAGGACUGUGUUUUGUCCAGCUGGGCCUCAGCAAAUACUGAUUCUGGAGCUGAAUGUCCUCCUAACAACCCAGCACACAGCUCUUUGAGCUCAUGAGCUCACCUUCUGGGUUUCUGCAGUUACUGUCAGUAGCCACUUCACCCAGGCAGCCUCCCCGCCUAGUCUACUGAAGCCCGUCUCAGUAUCCACGCGGUUAGGGAUUCUCCAGAGGAACGAACCCCUGGUUCUAAGUGAGUGGCUGGGGAGUGGGGGGUGGAGAUGGCAGCCCCUGUAUCCGCCUCUCCUUCCCUUCACCCUCAUCAUUAGUGUAUCUGCCACAGCUCUCAGCUUCUGCUUUCAGAAGCUCCAUGGUCCCAGCUGUGUUUCCUUUGUCCCUAUGCUAUAAAAUCUUACAUUUGUUUAAUGUUUUAAACUUUUAAAACACUUUCAUUUAUCUUUCAGCAGCUCCAUGAGUGGUGAGGGCAAGAGGUUACAGAACUUGCCUAAAGUCAUGAGGUUGAUUGUUAAUGCAAAGGCAAGGGUAGAAUCCAAGCCUCUUUCUGUUCCAUGUUACUAACAAUCAUGCAGUUGGAUUUUGGGGAGCAAAACAGUGGGCCAGAGUGAAUUAAGUCAACGGCCUGCAUCUGCCUUAGAUUUAGGUCCCAAUUACCAGAGAAACUAUUUUGAAAUAAGGUGAAAUUAAGAGCCUCUUCCUUGUUCCAGAGACCUUGAUGUUCCGUUUUCCCCAGCAUUCCUCCCUCACUCCCGUUUGCACAUGUAGCAUGAGGAACAUGUCCCUGGGAGUAUGUAACAGGUUCCUGAUAAAACAGAAAGCUUUUCGGGCUCUGAUCACACAUGUUGCUGGCUCAGUCCCUUUCCCAGCUACUGCCCUGGCUACCCUUACCUGGCUCCCUUGCACAGGGCACCUCAUACCCUUUCCAAGGGCACCUCACAAGGACAUCUCUGACUGCCAGAUCUUCCAAAGUAUGACCUGCUUAGCUGCCAGAAGCCACUUCAGUGCAAUCUUAGCUUGGCCUACAAGUCAGCCCUAGGCUUGCUGGGGAAGGUUAGAGGCAAAGGCUGUGACACCAGAAAGACACCAGAAGCUGUAUUAUGGUGAGUUGUUGGUGCCCUCAGUAAACAAGAUAAUGGCUAUGUAUGCAUUUCCAGUGGGGCUCCUGAUAAACAAAAUUACGUAGUAAAUGUUAGUCUUCUGUUCCCCGAACAGACCCUACCUGUAAGGUUAUCAUUCCUGUGCCAGGUUAGUCCUGUACAGAACUUUAGGUCGCACUAGAAACCACCACCCACCUCAAACCUGUUAUUCUGCUGCAGGGGGUAAUCUGGGCAAAUAGCACAGCAAAACGGAGGAGUAUUUUUUUUUUUUUUACCUUGGAGGUGCUCCAGCUGAUUGCCUUGCCCAGAGGUGGCUCCCAGUGGGCUGUGGGGCACAGCGGUUAGGAGCCGACCCCGGAGCCGGGGCCCCAUCCUCAGGAUGCGCACACUCAGGGGCCGAAGGCAGUGAUUAGUCAACCGGAGCUGAACGUGGACUCUGGUGUGAAUCUUAAUCAGACUCUUCCCCAUGGUGGCCCAGGAAGGCAGAUACUUCUUCAGUGGAAACCAGCUGAUCUCUUCAUGGAAACCAGCCAGGUAGGAGAAGGCGAAAACCAGCUAGCGACAAAGGAUUUUCACUGAUCUCAUGCCGUGGCAGCCCCUUUGCAGCGCCUCCCGUGCUGGAGAGAGAAGGUCGGUGCCGCGAGUCUCCGACCUUCAGCGAGCAGGCUGAGCUGCAGGGAAGGGGCGGCUCCCAGAGGCCAACGUUAUCAGGGCACUGACCAGUCAGAAGCACUUAGAGCCAUAAAAAGUAAUGCUUUCCAGCCUGUAGCUGUUUCCCUGAGGCCCAAAUAAGGGCCCCAGACCUCUAAGAGGGUGAGGGUCUGAGAGAGGACAGGGGACAGUCUCAGAGGGUAGGGGGAAUCAAGACUGUCCAGAAAAUCCAAGAUGUGAAGCUACAAAGACAAUGGGCUUUGCGUUGGGUAGCUCUGGGGCUGGAAAGGGGCUGUGUCCCAUCCUCCAUGGGGCUCCACACUGUUCGGCCGGCUGCCGAGGGGUGCCCCCCAGGGCGUGUGGGUGAGAGGAACUGACACACCUGAGUGUCCUCUCUAAGUCAGGCCUGAAAAAAUAACCUAUGUUAUCCUGGCAUCCCUGAGAGCAGAGGGCAGGGCCAAUCAAUGUAGUCAUCUUUUAAAGGGUCUCAGUUCAUUGAUUACUUGGUUUCAUUCGAACUGGAAUGUCAUGUUAAUGGUUUCUGCAAUUUUCCCCAUUGUUUUUGGAGAUAGCAAACAAAGCUUUCCCCAAGAAAAGGCAAAUGGGGUCUGUGAUACUAUGUGCCUUGUGGACUAUAGGAAAGGCAGUUCAUGAUGGAGCACGAACCAGUUUCAAAUGUUCACAACUUCCUGGGGUUUUGAGGGUUUGUGCCAUUUUUCUGAGUUCUGCAUCACAUCCCUCUCACCCUUCCCUGCCUGGCUGGGGUGGACGAGCUGUGUUAGGUAGGUGCUUAAAGGCAAAACCCCCUCUUGAGAGAUGGUGCAGCUGAACUCUAGCCUCCUGAAAUAAUCCAGUCUUUAUUUCCCCAGGCUUGAUGAUCCCUGUACUGACAGAGCCACUUAGCUAGUGAAAUCUUGUAUUUUUUCCACAUCCAAACCAGAUGUCCAUCUGCCUCACCUCACCCUGAGUUUCAUUCUGCCUUUACAGAUCACACUCGGGUGAUACAGAAUGAGUCAGUGACGCUUCACAUCAAACCAGAGAGCCUCCCGGACAAGCGGCAGAGCCAUCUCCUUCCUAACCUAAGCGGGUCUUCACUUUCAUCAACAAGCAGCAUUCCCACAGGGAGGGCGAAGGGCCUUCCCUUCCCGGCCUCCAGGACAGAGACAGGGUUGAAGCAAUCCUCCCGCUGUGUCCUGCUGCUUGAGAUUUUCUGAGGUCCUACAAAAUGGCAUGUUCUGGAAUGAAAGCUUCCACUGUACACCUGUAUCCAGCCUGUCGGGCAAGCCGGCUCAGUGACAACAGCUGGAGAGCAAUAUUGCGAGUCUACUCACAGAACUGACGGCCCAGAGGUGGGGGCGGCGUCAGCCUCAGCUGGGGUAUCUCGUUCGGUGAAGACACACAGACUUUGUCUCUCCUCCUGCCUCCAUCCACCUCCUCCAGAUGGAGGGAACAGCAGUGAGAGAUGGGGCAUGUUGGGCUUCCUGAGACAGUGUUAAAGAAUUCAGGUAGCAAGAGGACAGAUUUCUACAACUGAAGUAGAAGGCGGCUGCAGCUACUGGAAUGCUUCAGAGCAAGAGUUUUAAUUUCUUGUGUAACUGCCUCAGCCAGCCUGAUCAUUUAAGCUGUGGAGACUGGUCACCAGAUCUGGAACACAAGUGAAAGCUUCUUGACAGAAGGCAAGUUCAGAACUGCAUGGAAGGUGGUAGAUUCCGUUCACAAAGGUCUCUCCCAAAGGUCUAGCCCCAUACUCUCAGACGUCCAAACCCUCCUGGACCACAGCUCAGCAGGGCUUGAUGGAAUUCCCUUUCACCUGACACCCAGCUGGUGUGCCCACCCACUGGAGGAAGCCUUCUCCCUACCCCUGGAGAAACCUGCCGCUGUCUGUAAGGCAUAUUCACUUCUUUCAAAGGUCUGUGAGGAACUGGUCCAAGUGAUAAUUUAGAGGAACCCGUGUCACCUCCAGAGCUCAUGCUCACCUUCCAUGAUGGAGAUGUGAACAGCUCUUCUCCGGGUCCUAGGGACGCUGCUCAGCCUUGGGCCAUGGGUUAUGGAGGGACAGCUGCGGCUGGGAACCAUCCCUGCUCUGAGGUUAAAGAAAAAGGGAACUGUUAACUCAGCGCACAGAUUAGGUCAGGACUCAGAGUUGAGGAGUGGUCGCUAGAACCUACCUAGCUGUGUUGUUUUAUUUUGUGUUUUUUUUUUUUAAAUCUUUAAUGCCUGCCUUUUGCCUUUAGUCCCUGGAGCCCAGUCAGAGACACUGCUUGUCAACUUCCUUAUAGCCCAGACCCACCUGAAUCUUCCUUUAGUGUGGCAACGGCACCACUGAUCUCUGGGCAGGAUGUCAGGGAGGAGAGCCCGGGAUAUGCCCUACUCCUAAAAAUGGGCCUGAGACCGAUAUGGCGGCCUCCCCUGACCUCCAACAGAGGCGACAGAUGUGAAGGCAGGUAGUACUUGUUCCCCUUCCCCGAGGUCAGGCUGGUGGGCAAACCCUGGCCCUCUUGGCCAGUCACGUUUUUCCGGGGUCGAUCAGGUUCGAGAAGAUGGGCUUCUGGACAUGCAUGAUUUACGGUUUUACAUAAAGCAUGGGUCCCAAAACUAUUUCAGACCUAGUAUGACUGGCUUCCUGUAAUGGACUGAUUCUAGAACCCAUGGAAUCUUGCUGCAUGGACAUGUCCUCCAUGGUCUACGACCAAUUUCAGGACUUGGGAGGACAGUACAGAAUUACCCAGGAAGGUGGCUCCCGGGUCUGAUGUACUAUCUGCAUUAGUCUGCCCUCCCUCAUUCUCCAUCAAGGCUCAGGGAACCCGGGCCAGACUGUUCCCCAUGCCUCAGCUGAAAUGGGUCUCUUCACCCUCCUGCUCUGUUCAGGAGCCAUCACAGCCAGAAUCCCCACAGUAUGCACACUGCUGGCUCUUUUAAGAUUCUGAGAGCUCAGCUGGACUUGGUUUUGGGGGAAGCCCCUGGCAGCCUACCUGUGUAUUUCCGGUGGCUCCCGUUUGAUCUUGGCACUUGAUUCCAUUACCUCCUUCGCAACUCGGCCACUAGAAUUGGUGUAAUAAAACAAGCAGCAAGGAAUGAGACAGUGUUCCAGGACUGGGCUCCUCUCCAAGACCUCAGAUACUCUGGCUGAAUUGGGAAGUGGCCUCUUUGGCCUCCCCCUUCCCAAUGUUUAGGUCACUGAGAAAGGCUGGCUGGGGUAAAGGGCUCUAAGGUGUCCUGAUGGCUUUCUUAGAGAGCUCCCUCUCUCUCUGAAGUCUUUGGGGUCUUCCAUUCUCAUUUAGGAAUGAUUCCUCACUGUCCAGCAUGUUCCAAAAAUAUUGCAAAAACUCUUUAGACAGACAUGAAUAGAAUCACUGUUACAGCUCUUAUUUUGCUGCUGUUUUAAGGGCAGGAGGAGACAAUACACAUUUUAAGCCCCACAGACAAACAGCCUCAGGGAUAGAAAGAAAGAGUCAAAGGGUUAGGAGACAGGAGAAUUGGAUGGAAACCUCAUGCUUUUCUGGAGGCUCCCAGUGUCUUUGUUCUCAAGGGUAAGGACCACUGAGCCACUGUUCUCCAGAGAAGGGUCUAAAAAUAGGUCCAUAACGGUUACUUACUGUCACUAUUUACCUGUAUCGGAACCGGCUCCCUUUAAAGAAUAAAUUGCUGCUGGACACUG
Molecule: non-coding RNA, 6716 nt
Organism: Vicugna pacos (alpaca)
Lineage: Eukaryota; Metazoa; Chordata; Mammalia; Artiodactyla; Camelidae
Source: RefSeq, a predicted model, not a curated record